RNAcentral lists this ribosomal RNA (497 nucleotides) under uncultured bacterium. RNAcentral's name for it is "partial 16S ribosomal RNA". It matches the Rfam family "Bacterial small subunit ribosomal RNA", at positions 28 to 507 of the family's 1533-position model. The record is from RNAcentral.
GAUGAACGCUGGCGGCGUGCCUAAUACAUGCAAGUCGAGCGAACAGAUGAGGAGCUUGCUCCUCUGACGUUAGCGGCGGACGGGUGAGUAACACGUGGAUAACCUACCUAUAAGACUGGGAUAACUACGGGAAACCGGAGCUAAUACCGGAUAAUAUAUUGAACCGCAUGGUUCAAUAGUGAAAGACGGUUUUGCUGUCACUUAUAGAUGGAUCCGCGCCGCAUUAGCUAGUUGGUAAGGUAACGGCUUACCAAGGCAACGAUGCGUAGCCGACCUGAGAGGGUGAUCGGCCACACUGGAACGGAGACACGGUCCAGACUCCUACGGGAGGCAGCAGUAGGGAAUCUUCCGCAAUGGGCGAAAGCCUGACGGAGCAACGCCGCGUGAGUGAUGAAGGUCUUCGGAUCGUAAAACUCUGUUAUUAGGGAAGAACAAAUGUGUAAGUAACUAUGCACGUCUUGACGGUACCUAAUCAGAAAGCCACGGCUAACUACGUG